RNAcentral lists this long non-coding RNA (1111 nucleotides) under Crocodylus porosus (Australian saltwater crocodile). RNAcentral's name for it is "lncRNA (ENSCPRG00005017573.1)". Lineage: Eukaryota; Metazoa; Chordata; Crocodylia; Crocodylidae. The record is from RNAcentral.
GGAGUGGGGAGGAAUUGGGAUUCUUUGUAAGCUCCUGGGCUGGCUCCUGACUGGUUCCUAGACUGAGUCUAGGUGAGGGGCUUAGCUUCCAAUUUUCUAUCUCCCCUCCCCGCCUUCUCUCAGUCCCUUCCCCCUGUACUUCAGGAUGCAAGGGCUUUCCAAUGUUUUUUGGUUUGCAGCUCCCUUUUGUUUUCUUUUCCAUUGCUCUCACCCAAUUUUGCACCUUUCCACGGUCCCCACACUUUCUUUUCAGGGACUGGGCUUUUUCAUCAGGUUAACUGAAUUUGUGGUUUCCUUGAAAAUCAUAAAUUCCAUAGGUCCCUACUCAUGAGAAUGCUAGGCAAGGGCUAAAUGCUGCAAUUUUUUUUUCAGGCAAAAGAAUCUAGCUGCUGCUUAAAUGCAGGAGAAAUGUCUGAACUGUAUGCUACAUUCCUAAACCAGAACAUUUUUCGUGGAAGUCUUGCUCCAGGGGUUUCCUUGCCAGUUCAUUCUGAAGUCUGCACUAGAGAAGGAAACUUCCCUCUCAGAAGAAAAAUGAAAAUUCAUAUUUGUUUUGCAGCUCCUACAAGGAAGAUCGUAAAUUCAUGUGUAGUGUGUUCUGAGACUUGACCACAUCAGGACCCUUUGAACUGCUUUGUGGGAGAUCUUGGCCUUUUUAACUUCUCUUAUUCUUGCACACAUAUAUCUGAAUUACCUUUUCGUAGUUCUUUCGAUACACAAACAGUUACUAAAAGACUUCAGAUAACUGCAGAUCACAUUCCUUCUAAGGCCUUCAGGGCAAGAAAGGGGAGGCACUCAUUCUUCUAUAAACAUAGAAAAAGGACAUGAACUAUAUUCAUUACUUGCCAAAGUGGAAAAGGUUUCUUUGACAGUAUAUUUUAGGUCCCUGACAUAUCUGCAUCAGAAUGCUUGGAGAAAGGAGAGACUUCAACAUGAGUCAACUGUAUUGAUUUCUGCCUCUAAGGAAAGUAGGCAAAGUAGAAUUUUUACUGUACUAAAACAUGGGAGCUUUAGAUAAGUUCUCAUUGGAGAUUUUCUUUUCGGUUUUUCCUUUGGAGAUAGGAAGGUAGAUAAGUGUAUCAAUAAAGGACAAUGAGGGGAGUUUUCUACA